UGCCCGGUAGCUAAAUUCGGAAGAGAUAACCGCUGAAAGCAUCUAAGCGGGAAACUUGCCUCGAGAUGAGUCUUCCCUGGGGCUUUAAGCCCCCUGAAGGAACGUUAAAGACUAUGACGUUGAUAGGCUGGGUGUGUAAGUGCAGCGAUGCAUUGAGCUAACCAGUACUAAUGAUCCGUGAGGCUUAACCUU
Molecule: ribosomal RNA, 192 nt
Filed under: Escherichia coli
Lineage: Bacteria; Pseudomonadati; Pseudomonadota; Gammaproteobacteria; Enterobacterales; Enterobacteriaceae
Also listed under: 1 other name
Description: partial 23S ribosomal RNA
Rfam family: Bacterial large subunit ribosomal RNA
Source: RNAcentral